AGUGAACGCUGGCGGUAGGCCUAACACAUGCAAGUCGAACGGCAGCACAGUAAGAGCUUGCUCUUACGGGUGGCGAGUGGCGGACGGGUGAGGAAUACAUCGGAAUCUACUUUUUCGUGGGGGAUAACGUAGGGAAACUUACGCUAAUACCGCAUACGACCUACGGGUGAAAGCAGGGGAUCUUCGGACCUUGCGCGAUUGAAUGAGCCGAUGUCGGAUUAGCUAGUUGGCGGGGUAAAGGCCCACCAAGGCGACGAUCCGUAGCUGGUCUGAGAGGAUGAUCAGCCACACUGAAACUGAGACACGGUCCAGACUCCUACGGGAGGCAGCAGUGGGGAAUAUUGGACAAUGGGCGCAAGCCUGAUCCAGCCAUACCGCGUGGGUGAAGAAGGCCUUCGGGUUGUAAAGCCCUUUUGUUGGGAAAGAAAAGCAGCAGGUUAAUACCCCGCUGUUCUGACGGUACCCAAAGAAUAAGCACCGGCUAACUUCGUA
RNAcentral lists this ribosomal RNA (492 nucleotides) under uncultured bacterium. Its description in RNAcentral is "partial 16S ribosomal RNA". It matches the Rfam family "Bacterial small subunit ribosomal RNA", at positions 29 to 507 of the family's 1533-position model. The record is from RNAcentral.